UAAAGAGGUCUCAAGCGUUGUUCGGAUUCAUUGGGCGUAAAGGGUGCGUAGGCGGCGCGGUAAGUCGGGUGUGAAAUCUCGGAGCUUAACUCCGAAACUGCAUUCGAUACUGCCGUGCUUGAGGACUGGAGAGGAGACUGGAAUUUACGGUGUAGCGGUGAAAUGCGUAGAUAUCGUAAGGAAGACCAGUGGCGAAGGCGGGUCUCUGGACAGUUCCUGACGCUGAGGCACGAAGGUCAGGGGAGCAAACGGG
Molecule: ribosomal RNA, 253 nt
Filed under: uncultured bacterium
Lineage: Bacteria
Description: partial 16S ribosomal RNA
Rfam family: Bacterial small subunit ribosomal RNA
Source: RNAcentral